CCUACGGGAGGCAGCAGUGGGGGAUAUUGCACAAUGGGGGAAACCCUGAUGCAGCGACGCCGCGUGGGCGAAGAAGUAUCUCGGUAUGUAAAGCCCUAUUAGCAGGGAAGAAGAAAUGACGGUACCUGAGUAAGAAGCACCGGCUAAAUACGUGCCAGCAGCCGCGGUAAUACGUAUGGUGCAAGCGUUAUCCGGAUUUACUGGGUGUAAAGGGAGCGCAGGCGGCACGGCAAGCCUGAUGUGAAAGCCCGCGGCCCAACCGCGGGACUGCAGUGGGAACUACCGGGCUGGAGUGCCGGAGAGGUAGGCGGAAUGCGUGGUGUAGCGGUGAAAUGCGUAGAUAUUAGGAAGAACACCAGUGGCGAAGGCAGCCUACUGGACGGUGACUGACGCUGAGGCUCGAAAGCGUGGGGAGCAAACAGGAUUAGAUACCCGGGUAGUC
RNAcentral lists this ribosomal RNA (442 nucleotides) under uncultured bacterium. RNAcentral describes it as "partial 16S ribosomal RNA". It matches the Rfam family "Bacterial small subunit ribosomal RNA", at positions 338 to 795 of the family's 1533-position model. The record is from RNAcentral.